RNAcentral lists this ribosomal RNA (426 nucleotides) under uncultured bacterium. RNAcentral describes it as "bacterial SSU rRNA". It matches the Rfam family "Bacterial small subunit ribosomal RNA", at positions 354 to 796 of the family's 1533-position model. The record is from RNAcentral.
GUGAGGAAUAUUGCACAAUGGGCGCAAGCCUGAUGCAGCAACGCCGCGUGCGGGACGAAGGCCUUCGGGUCGUAAACCGCUUUUCUGGGGAAAGAGCAAGGACGGUACCUCAGGAAUAAGUCUCGGCUAACUACGUGCCAGCAGCCGCGGUAAAACGUAGGAGGCGAGCGUUAUCCGGAUUUACUGGGCGUAAAGCGCACGCAGGCGGCUCUGUGAGUCGGACGUGAAAGCUCCCGGCUUAACCGGGAGAGGCCGUUCGAUACUGCGGGGCUUGAGGUAGGGAGAGGAAUGCGGAAUUCCCGGUGUAGUGGUGGAAUGCGUAGAUAUCGGGAGGAACACCUGUGGCGAAAGCGGCAUUCUGGCCCUCACCUGACGCUGAGGUGCGAAAGCGUGGGUAGCAAACAGGAUUAGAAACCCCUGUAGUCC